Molecule: ribosomal RNA, 405 nt
Filed under: uncultured bacterium
Lineage: Bacteria
Description: bacterial SSU rRNA
Rfam family: Bacterial small subunit ribosomal RNA
Source: RNAcentral
CCUGGCUCAGAUUGAACGCUGGCGGCAUGCUUUACACAUGCAAGUCGAACGGUAACAGGGAGCUUGCUCCGCUGACGAGUGGCGAACGGGUGAGUAAUGCAUCGGAACGUGCCGUGUAAUGGGGGAUAACGUAGCGAAAGUUACGCUAAUACCGCAUACGCCCUGAGGGGGAAAGUGGGGGACCGCAAGGCCUCACGUUAUACGAGCGGCCGAUGUCGGAUUAGCUAGUUGGUGGGGUAAAGCCUACCAAGGCGACGAUCCGUAGCGGGUCUGAGAGGAUGAUCCGCCACACUGGGACUGAGACACGGCCCAGACUCCUACGGGAGGCAGCAGUGGGGAAUUUUGGACAAUGGGGGCAACCCUGAUCCAGCCAUGCCGCGUGAGUGAAGAAGGCCUCGGUGUAAG